This 111-nucleotide small RNA is filed under the name Xaviernesmea oryzae. RNAcentral describes it as "Rhizobium oryzae Alphaproteobacterial ar15". It matches the Rfam family "Alphaproteobacterial ar15". The record is from Rfam by way of RNAcentral. Lineage: Bacteria; Pseudomonadati; Pseudomonadota; Alphaproteobacteria; Hyphomicrobiales; Rhizobiaceae.
AGCUGAGGCACAUGAUGGCCACCUCCCAGUGCCAUCGCGUCAGCUGUUCCCCUCUGGAGGUUUCAAACCUUCACACCUGAUAGGCCCCGGCACACGCUGUGGGCCUUUUUU